Molecule: long non-coding RNA, 1694 nt
Organism: Humulus lupulus (European hop)
Lineage: Eukaryota; Viridiplantae; Streptophyta; Magnoliopsida; Rosales; Cannabaceae
Exons: 9
Source: RefSeq, a predicted model, not a curated record
GCCGACUUACAAUUAGUGCAUAUAAAAUUAAAGCCGAAAAAAAUAUUAAGUGUCCCGCCUCUUCUUCUUCACUGUACAGCCCCGCCAAGUCAUUUUCUUCUUCUUCGUUCCGCCAGCGACCCAAAAGAUUCUUCCUCGCUCUCUCCGAUCGUGACAACGCCUUCCAUCUUUCUCAUGUUGGGUCAUCGUUCGGCAGCAUCUUCUUCCGUCUCUCUCUCUCUCUCUCACUGGGUCGUCGUUCUGCAGCAUCUUCUUCCGUCUCUCUCGCUAGGUCGGUCUCUUCACUUGCUCAGGAACUUGCUCCUUAUCCCACCGUUUUUAUCAAUGGGAAUCACGAGGCUUCCAAUUACUUGUGGGAAUUGUUUUGGGUGGAUAUAUUAGCAAGGAUCAUUGCCAAGUGAAUUAAUUUGCUUGAUUAUCGUUAAUUGCAAGAGGAGGCUUUCAGUCCAAUUUUAGGGAAACCUCUGUCGAAUUUUUUCUAGGAAAUGGAUGAGUGCUGCAAUGAUGAUGCUAAACUUAUUUUCCCUAUUGGAGUUUAGAUUUCUUUAGUACGUCAUGCUAUCGGCCACUAUGUUGAAUGACCUUCUCAUCUAAUCAUUCCUUACGAUUCAGAUUUGCUACCUAAGAAGACAAAGAAGCAAAAAAGGAAUGGUUCACCAAUACCUAAUGCCCCAAUGACACAAGAGAAGUUUCAUCCUUCCCAAAGACUUCAUAGUCAAAAUGAAGUAGUGUCAAUUAUAGCUAGUGCCCUGAUACUCUUCAAGAUUCCUAGUGGAGUUCCUCGCUUUCUCAAGUGUCUAUUAACUACCAUGAAGUAUGUGGAGCCAAGUUUCAUGAUCAAAGUUCCGAUGGAUUUUGAGAUAUUAGGCCAUGAGAAUGAUUUAUAUAUCUCACAAGAAGAUAUAGUCCACGUUGGCUUAAUGGAAGAGAUUGGAGCAUCAUGUUUAUAGUUAUAUAUCAGGAUUUUAUACUUCCAAUUAGUGAAAAGAGAGGAUCAGUCACUUUUUUGGUUUUGUUGAGCCAAUUUGGUUAUCAAAUGUUGAAUCCACUGAAGAAGAACGAGUUGAAUGGGUAUCAAAGCGUAUAAUUGAUUCACAUUUGGGUCAGAUGUGGUUGUUGCCAUAUCAUAAGGGAAAACAUUGGAUGCUUAUAAUAAUUGAUUUUGAUCACCAAUUGUGCUAUUUCCUGGAUUCUCUUCACAAUUUUCCACCAGAUGAAAUCAAAUCUCUCAUUUCUUGUGUCUUUCAACAUUUACGCACAAAUAAUGCGAAAACUAAGGAAGUUGUGUGGAGAACAGUUAAGUGUCCUUGUCAACCAUUACAAUCAGUACAGUGUGGAUUCUAUGUUAUGAGGAUGAUGAAGGACUUCGUGACAAAUGAAUUUUCAAUGCGAUAGCUAACUAGUAACUGUGGCGGGAAGAACUAUUACACAAAUGAUGAGAUCAAUGAAGUACGUGAAGAAUUGGCACAAUGCGUCAUCGAUUUGAUGAGUACUACAUAGGUCCACUCACUUUUGUUAACUUAGACAUUUAAUGAGAUAUGCUUACAAUGUUAACUUAGACUUUCUUGAAGAUAUACACACUUUUGUUGUCCAACUAUAGUUUACAAUGCUUAUAUGAGUCAUUUUGUAAUUAACUUAAGACUCGUUAUUUUAGAUACUUAGUUCAAAUUCUAGUAUUUUAUAUUAUUGUGAUA